GUAUAUAACUACAAGACGAGAAGACCCUUUGGAGCUUAAGGUACAGACCCAAUCGCGUCAAACAACUUGCCAAAGAGCCCGAACUUAGCGAAUACUGGAAUCUUACCUUCGGUUGGGGCGACCACGGAGGAAAAAAUAGCCUCCGAGUGGACCGGGAUUAUUACCCUAAAGUCAAGAGGGACACCUCUAAGCCACAGAACAUCUGACCAAAUAUGAUCCGGCCACACAGGCCGAUCAACGAACCAAGUUACCCUAGGGAUAACAGCGCAAUCCUCUCCCAGAGUCCAUAUCGACGAGGG
This 299-nucleotide ribosomal RNA is filed under the name Carpiodes carpio (river carpsucker). Its description in RNAcentral is "partial large subunit ribosomal RNA". It matches the Rfam family "Bacterial large subunit ribosomal RNA", at positions 2073 to 2514 of the family's 2925-position model. The record is from RNAcentral. Lineage: Eukaryota; Metazoa; Chordata; Actinopteri; Cypriniformes; Catostomidae.